AGAUGUGUAUAAGGGACAAGUGAGUCAUCGAAUCUUUGAACGCACAUUGCGCCCCCUGGUAUUCUGGGGGGCAUGCCUGUUCGAGCGUCAUCAAAACACUCAAGCUCUGCUUGGAAUUGGGCCCUACUUUGAUGAGGUUGGCCUCAAAGUCAUUGGCGGUGCCGACUGGUCUCCGAGCGUAGUAAUAAAAGCCUCGCUUUCUGAGCCAGUACUGGUGCCAAGCCAGAUACCUAGAAUAUUAGUUUGACCUCGGAUCAGGUAGGGAUACCCGCUGAACUUAAGCAUAUCAAUAAGCGGAGG
RNAcentral lists this unclassified non-coding RNA (300 nucleotides) under uncultured Ascomycota. RNAcentral describes it as "sequence contains 5.8S rRNA gene, ITS2". The stretch from base 1 to 90 matches the Rfam family "5.8S ribosomal RNA", at positions 58 to 154 of the family's 154-position model. The record is from RNAcentral. Lineage: Eukaryota; Fungi; Ascomycota.